UGUUUUCUGGACUAGACAUAUAAAUUGUAGGGAGAACGCUGAGCAGAAUUGCUUGGGAUGAUGGUGUGGAGCUUGAGUUUUGCCUGGAGGGAACAGGAAGGAAGGGGGCUGGAGCAGCACUCAGUUCCUUCUCAAAAUAGAUAUUGAAUGGUAUUAAAUUCCAUUAAAGUAUGAGUUUUCUUGGAGUACCCACAUGCCUCCAGCUGCCCCUGCUUCCUGGUGAGAAAGAGGCGGGUUUUCUGUCGAGCUCUCUGAAGAGGAGGUCUCUAGACUGAGUGGCAGCUGCUGUGGGAACCCUGCGUGAUUCAAUCUGAACGGCUAUGGACCAGCUCCUGUGCUGUAGAUUCUAUUUAUUUAUAUGAGAGAGAGGAAGAGAGAGCACAAGUGGGAAGCAGGGGCAGAGAGAGGGACGACUCCCCGCGGAGCAGGAAGCCCGACACUCGGUGCUCAAUCCCAGGACCCCAGGGUCGUGAACUGAGUCGAAGGCAGACGCUUCACUGACUGAGCUACCCAGGCGCCCCUCAUUUCAUCAUCCUUACCCUAGAGAAUUGUCGAAGAGAAAAGAACCACAAAGGAUGAGUUUUGCUUGCCUUGGAGAGGGUUCUCCAGAGCAACAGAAACAAGAGGAUCCGCAGACACCCGUAUGUGUAUCUAACUUAUUAUAUCUGGAGGGAGAUUCAUUAGGGGCAAUUGGCUCAUGCGAUUAUGGGGCCAAGAAGUUUCACAGUCUGGGUGCAAGAGCAGAGACCCAGAAGAGCAGGGGUCCAGUUCCAGUGUGAGCGGGAGGCCCGACAACAGAGAGACCAGGGGUGUCAGUCCGGGUCCAAGUCUCAAGACAGGAGAAGAUCAAUGUCUCAGCUUCAUGGGCAAGCAGAGAGACGGAGAACUCCUCAUUCCUCCAUCUUUUUGUUCUAGUUGGGACGAGGGUUGUUGUGUUUGCUCUGCCUAAUCCAACAGAUGGAUGGGGUGCACCCACACCGGGGAGGGUCUGCGGAUUCAAAUGCUAAUGUCUUCUGGAAAUACUUUCAUAGAGACAACCAGAACCACGCUUAACCAGAUGUCUGGGCAUCUUGUGACCCAGUCAUGUUGACACAUAAAAUCAACCAUCGCAGGCAGUACUCAGCAUGAUAGCUAAGAAUUCAGAUCACGGAGUCCGAGAGACACAAGUCUGAAUUUUGGGCUCUGCUAUACACGCUGUGUGGCCUUAUUUUAGGUGACUUCACGUCUCUGUGCUGUAGCUCCCGCAUCUGUAAGAUGGGAACGAAAAGAGAACCACCAGGAGGGCUAGUUGCGAGGAUGAAAGGUGAUUAGGCACGAACUAGGAUCUUUGUGACUAGAAGAACCCUCGGGCUGGAAGGAAUUGCCGAGUCCAUCUGACUUUUCUUAUGGAUUAUAUAGGAAGAAUGAAACCAGAGCCCAGACAGACAAGCUCAGCCUGUCUCUGAGGAGAGAGCCGGUAAUGGAAUCCGUGUGUGGUGCCCAGAAUGGAAAUGAGAGAUAUACAGCAAGACUAUCGGUCAUUCCGUACCACGAGGGCCACUUUGGCUGGCCGCACAGACGAGUCUGGUUGUCGGGGCUGGCUGGGGCUGCCAUGGGCAGCGUCUGAAGCAGGAUCUAGAAGUCAGUCAGGUGCUUGGGCCCUUACGGUCAGAUGACUCUACGGGUGUGAACUCCUGUAUUCAUCCCAGUGGGGGGAGGGUCUUCACAUUCCCUCGUUUCUCCAUUAAUCUUAUCUUUUCGCUUUUACCAAAUAUGCCCUUUUGGGGAGGAAUUUUAAAAAAGCAAUCAGGUGAGUGCCGUGGGAGCCCUGCCAUCAUCAAUAAUGGUGUCACUAAUCAGUAUGAUUUUAUUCAUCACAACAAAACUUCUGAGCACGAGCCCUCACCAGGCAUUCCCUCCUUAUCUUUACAUGACCGGAUGCGGCAGCGUAAAAGGCUUUUCCCCUUCUUUGGGUCAUCCGUGGGGAAAUGGAGCAACAACAGUGGUCAACUGCGUCCAAGAGACACUCAGCAACAGAAUAGCUCAACCUGGAGAUCACCUCCUGAGACAGAAAGGGUCAAGCCCCUCGUGUCUGCUUGCUGACCUCACUGUCUCUCAGGUGGGCUCGUCCCCACCCUCCCAAAGUUCGGGAGCAGGGCUCCUCGGGCAGAGGUCAAGGCUAGUUGACUUUGUCUGGCCAUGGAUCGUGCAUGUGGUUCCAGUCACCCAGAGAGCCGGUGCAGGGACUCUCAUUUCAAUAUGGUGUCUUCCAAGGAAGCAGUUUUAUGACUUAAAUCUCAAGCCCUCUCCUCGGCGUCUUCCCAGCACACCUUCCUUUUGGCUUCCGAGGCAUCGGUGGCUACAGGGGUGUUCCUGUGUGCACCAUGUUGUGACUUAGCUUGCUAUCUGUCCCAGCCCUUGUCAUUCUGUCCUGAACACACUAGGUGCUCAAUACAUAUUUGUUAAACUGACUUAGAGCAAUGAAUCCAUUCAUAUGCAGAGAAUAAUGGUUUGAGAACUGAAGAUGUUCCAAGCAGAUUUCGGAGGCAAUACCAAAAGGAGUUUUUUUGUUUUGUUUUGUUUUGUUUUAAGUGUGGGGUCAGAGAAAUUAAGGGACACUGGCUGCCAUAAAGGCUUGAUACAAUAAUGGUUUAUCUUGUCAUUACAUCCCAGUGUAGGUCUGGGUGCCUCUUCUACAGCGUCUGGGCUGUUCUGUUACUGUCCCACCAGCAGAUAAUUCCUAUAGAAGGUCCCACUUCUGAGUCAAAUACAGGUCAUAAAAGUUCUAACUUCAACUGAAACUGUCUUGUGUCUUCUACAAAAUGCUAGACUUACAACAUAAUUAAAAAAAAAAAACCCACAGUAUUUAUGCUAGUGAUCAGGGCAGCCUCAUUAAAAGUGUGAUUACAUCCAAA
Molecule: long non-coding RNA, 2894 nt
Organism: Mustela lutreola (European mink)
Lineage: Eukaryota; Metazoa; Chordata; Mammalia; Carnivora; Mustelidae
Exons: 3
Source: RefSeq, a predicted model, not a curated record